GCGGAGGAAAAGAAACCAACAGGGAUUGCCCUAGUAACGGCGAGUGAAGCGGCAACAGCUCAAAUUUGAAAUCUGGCCUCCUUUGGGGGUCCGAGUUGUAAUUUGCAGAGGGCGCUUUGGCGUCGGUAGCGGUCUAAGUUCCUUGGAACAGGACGUCACAGAGGGUGAGAAUCCCGUACGUGGUCGCCUACCUUCGCCGUGUAAAGCCCCUUCGACGAGUCGAGUUGUUUGGGAAUGCAGCUCUAAAUGGGAGGUAAAUUUCUUCUAAAGCUAAAUACUGGCCAGAGACCGAUAGCGCACAAGUAGAGUGAUCGAAAGAUGAAAAGCACUUUGGAAAGAGAGUCAAACAGCACGUGAAAUUGUUGAAAGGGAAGCGCUUGCCGCCAGACGUGCCCGUGGUGGUUUUCCUCCGCGGGCAGGCCAGCAUCAGUUUGGGCGAUCGGAGAAGGGCCUCUGUCAUGUAUCUUCCUUCGGGAUGACCUUAUAGGGGAGGCGUAGUACGAUCAGCCCGGACUGAGGUCCGCGCAUCUGCU
This 533-nucleotide ribosomal RNA is filed under the name Dictyosporium toruloides. RNAcentral's name for it is "eukaryotic LSU rRNA". It matches the Rfam family "Eukaryotic large subunit ribosomal RNA", at positions 50 to 607 of the family's 3401-position model. The record is from RNAcentral. Lineage: Eukaryota; Fungi; Ascomycota; Dothideomycetes; Pleosporales; Dictyosporiaceae.